UGGGGAAUAUUGGACAAUGGGCGAAAGCCUGAUCCAGCCAUGCCGCGUGUGUGAAGAAGGCCUUUUGGUUGUAAAGCACUUUAAGCGAGGAGGAGGCUACUUGGAUUAAUACUCUAGGAUAGUGGACGUUACUCGCAGAAUAAGCACCGGCUAACUCUGUGCCAGCAGCCGCGGUAAUACAGAGGGUGCGAGCGUUAAUCGGAUUUACUGGGCGUAAAGCGUGCGUAGGCGGCUUUUUAAGUCGGAUGUGAAAUCCCUGAGCUUAACUUAGGAAUUGCAUUAGAUACUGGGAAGCUAGAGUAUGGGAGAGGAUGGUAGAAUUCCAGGUGUAGCGGUGAAAUGCGUAGAGAUCUGGAGGAAUACCGAUGGCGAAGGCAGCCAUCUGGCCUAAUACUGACGCUGAGGUACGAAAGCAUGGGGAGCAAACAGG
RNAcentral lists this ribosomal RNA (430 nucleotides) under bacterium. RNAcentral describes it as "partial 16S ribosomal RNA". It matches the Rfam family "Bacterial small subunit ribosomal RNA", at positions 355 to 776 of the family's 1533-position model. The record is from RNAcentral.